Molecule: long non-coding RNA, 5814 nt
Filed under: Sorghum bicolor (sorghum)
Lineage: Eukaryota; Viridiplantae; Streptophyta; Magnoliopsida; Poales; Poaceae
Description: long non-coding RNA (SBIC_LNC003283)
Source: RNAcentral
CUUCUGACCAAUCCUUUGAUAAUUGGUGGAGAAAAUUUGACUGUGCUGUUAGUGGAGAUUUUAGAUUGGGUCUGAAUUCCCUAGUCAUUUUGGGAGCCUGGAGCAUCUGGCGACAUAGAAAUGACUGUGUUUUUAAUCAGGCACUUCCUAAUGUUAACCUGGCUUUGGCUCUGGCUAGGGGGAGGCUGCUUGGUGGAGUAUGGCAGGAGCCAAGGGAAUUUCCCUGCUCACUGCCAAAGGUUCAGUCUGAUGAACUGCUGUUUGGUCGUUCUUUGUUUUUUCAACCGGUUCUAGUUGUUGGCACAGAAACCCUGCACCUCCUCCCCUCUCCCUCUCCCCUGCUCCAAGGCAGAAGAAGAGCCUUGAGCUACUUCAGCACACACACAUAGCACACUCAGUUUCAGACUUGAACUGAAACUGAAACACUGAAUAUGUGGCAAUGAACUGCCCUUUUCCAUUGCAAUAGGUAGAGUAUAUAUACACAAAACAUGUACCUGCUGGUACACUACUUGGAUGGGACUACACCACUCCAUACAACUACUCUACAUGGCUUAUAUCAGCCAAUACCUACUCUUGUACCUGCCUAUACCAGCCCACUACUCUAGCUGGUGUACUUCUACCAACUAUGGAAGACUAAAUGGCCUAUUGCCAUAUUUCUACAGUGGCAGCUUGAAGCUGACCACUUGAUCCUGCCAACGUAGGGCAAAAUCAAAAGAGGAACAGCAGAUUAUAUCUUAUAAUCUUCCCCUAAUCCUGCUGUUUACUCUUAACCUCCACCAUGCCAAUCUUGCUCCUUAGUUCCAAGAACCGAAGUCGCCCAACUGACUUAGUGAAGAUAUCAGCGAGUUGUCGACCGGUCUCGACGAACUCGAUGACAAUCUGCCUCUCCUCAACGCAAUCACGGAGGAAGUGGAACUUCACAUCGAUGUGUUUGCUUCGGUCAUGGAGGACAGGGUUCUUUGCCAGCGCAAUUGCUGGCUGAUUGUCCACCUUGAGCGCAGGCGGCCGGGGCUCAAUGCCUGUGAGCUCCCCCAGCAGCCAGCGCAUCCACACCAAUUGGCAUGCCGCGGUGGCGGCAGCGACAUAUUCUGCCUCGCAAGUCGAUAGCGCCACCGUCUUCUGCUUCAGCGACUGCCAGGCGACAGGUGCUGCGCCGAGGAGGAUCAACACGCCUGAGGUGCUGCGCCGUCCGUUGACAUCGCCUACCAUGUCCGCGUCACUGAAGGCCGCGAGCUCCAGCUCGCCUCCAUCAGACCCACCGCCUUUAGGGAAGACAAGAGCCUGGUCCACCGACCCCUUGAUGUAGCGCAGCACCCGCUUGACUGCCAUCCAGUGAUCCUCUCGCGGAUCUUCCAUGAACCGGCUCACAUACCCGACCGCGAACGUGAUGUCCGGCCGAGUAUGGGUGAGCCAGCGCAGCCCACCGAUGAUGCUUCGGUAGCGCGUCGUGUCCACCUUUUCCACUGUGCUCUGCUUCGACAGCUUGAUCCGCUCUUCCAUUGGGGUCGCCGCAGGCUUGUAGUUUGCCAUGCCAGCCCGCUCCAGCAGCUUUCGCGCAUAGGCGCGCUACCCCAACGUGACUGCCCUGGUUCCCUGCCUCACCUCGAUGUCGAGGUAGUAGCUCAGCGCACCGAGGUCGGUCAUCUGAAACUGUGCAGCCAUCUCGGCUUUAAGGAUGCGAUGUCCUUCUCCCGCGCACCGGUGACGAUCAAGUCGUCCACGUACACCCCAACGACGAGUUCUUCCUUCCCCCGUCGGCGGGUGUACAAGGCGUGCUCUGUUGCGCACCAUGUGAACCCGAGCUCCGCCAUGGUGGCGUCGAGCUUGGAGUUCCAUGCCCGCGGCGCCUGCCGCAAGCCGUAGAGCGCCUUCCUGAGGCGGAGCACCUUGUGCUCAGCCCCCUUCACGAUGAAGCUUGGGGCCUGCUUGACGAAGACCUCCUCCGUCAAGUCACCGUUGAGGAAAGCGGACUUGACGUCGAGGUGGUGAACUGCCCAGUCCUUGGCCGCCGCCAUAGCCAGCACGAGUCGCACCGACUCCAUGCGUGCCACCGACGCGAACACCUCCUCGAAAUUGAUCCCCUCUCGCUGCACAAACCCCCGAGCGACGAGCCGCGCCUUGUGCUUCACCACCGCGCCGUGCUCGUCCUUCUUCACCUUGUAGACCCAUUUGAGUCCAAUUGGCCGGCAUCCAGCCGGUGGAUCGACCAAAUCCCAGGUCCGAUUUGCUUCAAUCUGCCGCAUUUCCUCGAGCAUAGCACGCCGCCACUUCGGCUCGCGUUCCGCAGCUGCGAAGGUGGCCGGCUCCUCUGUGCUCAUCAUCAUGAGCUCCUCCUCUUCGCCCAGCAGCCGCGCUGCCAAACCUGGAGUUGCUGCAUCACCAAGAACGUUGUCCAUGCGGCGGAAUCGUACCUCCUCGCCGUCGUGGAAGGCAUCCACGAACUCGAUGAUGUCUGGCGGUGGAGUAGCAUACUUGAUUUGAGCCGUCGUCGGAGUCCUCUGCUCCUGUCCCAGAGCAGAGUGAGACAGAGUGCCGCCAGUCAUGGUGGGACUGGGCGGGCUCAGCUUCCCCUGCUGCUGGCGCCCCGUCCCCUGCUUCCCCUGCUCCAGGGGCAGCCGCUACCUCCACGACUCCUAUUGGCGUGUGGACCUGGCUGGUGAUGACCAGUUGCUCGACGACGAAGGACCCACUGAUCCCGUGCGCGCCCUCUCCUACCGCCAUCUCUUCCUCAUCCCAUUUCCAUGCCGCCGCUUCGUCGAACACGACGUCGCGGGACACUAUCACCCUCCCGGUGACUGGAUCGUAGAGCCUGUAGGCUUUUGAUCCUUCCUCGUAGCCGAGGAACACCAUCUUAGUGCUCCUAUCUUCAAGCUUGCUGAGGUCGGGCUUGGUGUUCUUCACGUGCCCGAUGCACCCGAACGUGCGCAUGAAUGCCACGCUUGGCUUGCGGCCAUGUCAAGCCUCGAACGACGUCCUCCCGUUCAAUGCCUUUGUCGAAGCUCUGUUGAGGAUGAACACCGUCGUGCUCACUGCCUCACCCCAGAACGCCGCCGGCAUCCCCUUGGCCUUCAGCAUGCAUCUUGUCAUCCCGACGAUGGUCUGGUUCCGGCGUUCCACCACGCCGUUCUGCUGCGGUGAGUAGGGUGCCGUGAGAUGGCGUUCCACCCCCUCCUCCACGCAGUAGGUGGCGAACUCCACCGCCGUGAACUCUCCGCCACGGUCCGUCCGCAACACCUUCAGUCUCUUCCCAGACUCCGCUUCCACCUUUGCCUUGAAGUGCUUGAUGGCAUCUGCUGCCUCGCCCUUGCUUGCCAGAAGUCAUAGCCACAUAUAGCGACUGCAGUCGUCUACCAGCAGGAGGAAGUACCUCCGCCCGCCGUGCGUGGCCGGAGUGAUAGGCCCGCAUAAGUCACCGUGAACUAGCUCCAGUUUUUCUCCAGCGCGGUACCUUGCCUCCUUGGGGAACGGCAGUCUUCUCUGCUUCCCCACCAGGCAGCUGUCGCAGAGAUCACUGGCGUGUUGGAUCUUGGGCAUCCCCUUCACCAUUGCCGCCAGCCUGCUCAGCGCGUCGAAGUUCAAAUGCCCGAAGCGGCCAUGCCACAGCCACGGCUCCUCCGCGCACUGUGCCGCCAGGCAUACCAGCUCUUCGACCUUCAGGUCCAGCAAGAACAGCCGGUUCUUCGACCUUGUGACCUUAGCCAGCAACCGCCGCUCCUGGUCACGAAUCCGCAUUACGCCUCCCUUGAUCACCACCUCAGCACCGCGCUCGUCCAGCUGCCCGAGGCUGAUGAUGCUCGUCUUCAGCUGUGGGAUCCAGUAGACAUCCAUCAGUGCCCGGUGUUCGCCGUUCCGGCACCGGAACAGAACAGUGCCACGGCCGCGGAUCGCCACCCGGGAGCCAUCGCCAAACUUGACGCUACCGAUGGUUUCUUCGUCCAGCUCGGAGAAGACAGCGCGAUUUCCCGUCAUAUGGUUGCUCGCGCCGGAAUCUAGGUACCAGCGCUGCUCCAGCUCGUCGCCGACCGCCCCCAGUUGGACCUACGCCUGUGGCUCGUCAAGAUCGACGGCACGUGCAGCAGUCCCCUGCUUCGCGUCCGCCUCCCCUGUUUCACCUUGGAACGCGCAGUACUCCCACAACAUGAGAGCGUGCUCGUCGUCGUCGCUAUCCACAGCCGCUAGAUGCUCCUCCUCCUUCUCCGGCUUGCGUUCUGGGCAUUCGCGCGCCCAGUGCCCGACCUUGCCGCACUUGCGACAGGCGUUCGGGUCGGAGAAUUUCUUCUUGCCCUUCUUCUUGUCCGCGGGUCCCUUGCCCUGCUGCUUGCCGCCGCCGCGGUCGCCGCCGCGGCUGGAGCCUUCCCCGGACCGCCGCUUCUCCUUUAUGCGCGCUGUCCACUCCUCCUCGGUCAGCAAAAGCUUAGGCUUCUCCUUCUUCGGCGCCGGCGCGCUGCGGCUCUCUGCCACCCGCAGUCGCCCGGCCACGUCCUCCAGAGACAAUGUGGAGAUGUCCAGCAUCGUCUCGAUGGACAUGGCGAGCUGCGAGUACUUCGCCGGCACGACACAAAGCAGCUUGGUGACGAGGUCCUCGUCCUCCACCUUCUUGCCGUAGGUGGCCAGCUAAGUGGCCAAAGAUUAGAGACGAAGGGUGAAGUCUUCCACCGACUCUCCGGACUUGAACCAGAUGUCGUUGAGCUCCCGGCGCAGCUGCUGAAUCCUUGCUCGCUUGGCUCGGUCCGAGCCGACACGCAGGGACUCCAACAUUUCCCAGGCUUGCUUCGCGGUCUCCUUGGCGCCCAGCGCCUCGUGGUACUCCGCCGGCGUCGAGGCCAUGAGCGCCUCCAUGACCCCCACCUGGGCAUCUUCGCUCUGGUCGUCCUCCUCCACCGCCCGCCACCACUUCCGCGCCCGCAGCUUCCACUUCAUCUGCACCGCCCACUCACCGUAGUUGGUGCAGGUGAGCAUGGGCCAGGAGUUGCUGUCCGCCAUACUCCUUGACCACGCGAACCUCGACAUGCGGCGGCACCGGCUGGAGCUGGCGCUCACCACCCUCCCCGCCGCCGUUCCGGACCGCACUCUCCGCCAUUGCCAGUCGGUGGACCUAGCUACGGCUUGUACGGCUCCGAUACCACUUGUUGGCACAGAAACCCUGCACUGAGGUGAGCAGCACCUGCUCUCCUCCCCUCUCCCUCUCCCCUGCUCCAAGGUAGAAGAAGAGCCUUGAGCUACUUCAGCACACACACAGAGCACACACUCAGUUUCAGACUUGAACUGAAACUGAAACACUGAAUAUGUGGCAAUGAACUGCCCUUUUCCAUUGCAAUAGGUAGAGUAUAUAUACACAAAACAUGUACCUGCUGGUACACUACUUGGAUGGUGACUACACCACUCCAUACAACUACUCUACAGCCAAUACCUACUCUUGUACCUGCCUAUACCAGCCCACUACUCUAGCUGGUGUACUUCUACCAACUAUGGAAGACUAAAUGGCCUAUUGCCAUACUUCUACAGUGGCAGCUUGAAGCUGACCACUUGAUCCUGCCAACGCAGGGCAAAAGCAAAAGAGGAACAGCAGAUUAUAUCUUACACUAGUGUUUGUUUAGCAAUGGUGUGGGUGUGUGGGGAUUGGGUCUAUGUAUGACUCUCUUUUUCUUCUAUUAAUAUAAUAAUACGCAGCUCUCCUGUGUGUUCGAGAAAAAAAAAAGACAACUUGUCGUCAUCUUAGAAUUUAUAGGAAUGAAAAAGUCAAAUCUGUCACUUCCCUUGUUAGUCCGUCAGGAGCCAAUAUUAGAUCUAACAUGACAGGUCACACGCCUUCCA